This 2958-nucleotide ribosomal RNA is filed under the name Nicotiana tabacum (common tobacco). Its description in RNAcentral is "bacterial LSU rRNA". The stretch from base 1532 to 2958 matches the Rfam family "Bacterial large subunit ribosomal RNA". The record is from RNAcentral. Lineage: Eukaryota; Viridiplantae; Streptophyta; Magnoliopsida; Solanales; Solanaceae.
CUUUGUUCCCUUAGUAUAUAGUGAUGCAUUCGUUCUGAUUUUGGAUAUAGUAAAUGAUAUUUUGGGCUGAGAACUACUGUUUUUAUUAAUGCCUGAGGGGCUUAUAUGAUUUCUAGACUGAGUACGACCAAGGGUCAGAUGUGAGGAUACUAUGGGAUCGGGCUGCGUGCCGUAGCAAUGUUAUACUGAUAUUGAUAUGAGGCCAAGGGCCUAGAUUUGAUGCCACAAGAUGGCUUGAUAUUGCGCUUGGGCCGUAAGGGGCCCCUCCCGGAGUCUGCACACCCCCAGUGAGCGCCAUCGACGAGAUAUAUGGAUCGGGCUGCACACUGCAGCGGUGCUGGUAUUGUUCUAUGUGUUUACUUUAUUUCAUUUGUCUGCCAUUAUCUGUUGUUUGUGCUAUUUCAUCUGAUAUCUAUCUGAUUGCCUGGCAUUAUCUGUUAAUUGAGUGUUGUGCCUGAGGGGCAGAUUUCCAUGCUUAUCUGCACUAUUUGUUUUGCACUCAUUUGCGUAACCGUUGAAAAAGUCAUUUUUAAAAGAGGUUUAAACUGAGCUAAGAUGUUUUUCCAAGGAUUUCACAAUUUCACUGCUUUUACUCGAAGGGUUUUAGACUGCUCAGUUAUUAUUUACCUUUAUUACUCACUAAGUUGGAGUACUCACUUUACUCCCCGCACCUCGUGUGCAGAUGCAGGUAUUUGUUCACCCGGUAGCAGGUUUUCAGCUGGUCAGAGGCUAAGUUAUCGGAGUUUAGUGAGGUGACUGCCAGUGUUCGCAGCACCGCAUUUCUUCCUUUUGUUUAUCAGUCUUAUUUUGUAUGUUUCAGGCCUUGCAAUUGUAUUUAUACUCUAAUAGAUGCUCGUGACACCCCGGUUUGGGUUGUGUUUGGGUUGUAUUCCGCACUUAAUAAAGAAAACUUUUGUUUAGACUGUGGCUAUUUAAUUAUGCUAAAACUGUUUAUUAAUAUUAACUAUUCUGAAAAGGCGAAAUGGGUUGGUUGGCUGGCCUUGUCUUCACGAGAGGCGCCAUGACGACCGGAUCGGGGUCUGGGUUGUGACAAGAGGAUUCAAUAAAAACAAAUCUUUCGGAAGAUGGAGUGAUGAAGACAGUUCAAAACAUGAAGAAAUAGCAAUUAUGUGCUUCAUGACCAUUCUGGAAAAUGACAUGAACAAAUAUUCGGGCUGCUGGACCGAUGAAGAUUCAUCAAACGAUGAAUGCAAAGAAGAUACUACAAAUUGUUUCAUGGCACGAGGUGAAACAAGCGAGGUAAGAUCUUAUAAUUGUGAUAGAUGUAACUAAGGCUGUAUUUUGGGCGGGGCCCGGGCCUAAAUGGGCUAAACGAGCUGGGCCAAACGGUCCCGGGCUUUGACGGGCUGAGCUUUGGCGGUCCCGGGCCAAAUGGUCCCUAAACUAACAGUCCAAAUGUGUGGAACCGGCCCACUGUGGGCCUAAGCCCACAUGGUCCCGGGCUAAAUGGGUCGGGUCCAUGGCCUAAACGGGUUUUUCUGUUCCGGGCUAUUUUUUUUAUCUAAGGCAAUUUCUUGUAAACUAUAUAUGUAUAUACUAAUAUAAAUUGCUUAUAUAUAGCUAUAUAGCUAUAUAUAGUAUAUAUAGUAUGUAUAUAUAAUUAUAUAUUGCUUUAUAUAAUAUAUAUAUAUAAGCGAAAUAGCCCCGUAACUUCGGGAGAAGGGGUGCUUCCUCACAAAGGGGGUCGCAGUGACCAGGCCCGGGCGACUAUUUACCAAAAACAUAGGUCUCUGUAAAGUCGUAAGACCAUGUAUGGGGGCUGACGCCUGCCGAGUGCCGGAAAGUCAAGGAAGUUGGUGACCUGAUGAUAGGGGAGCUGGUGACCGAAGCCUCGGUGAACGGCAGCUGUAACUAUAACGGUCCUAAGGUAGCGAAAUUCCUUGUCGGGUAAGUUUCGACCCGCACAAAAGGCGUAACGAUCUGGGCACUGUCUCGGAGAGAGGCUCGGUGAAAUAGACAUGUCUGUGAAGAUGUGGACUACCUGCACCUGGACAGAAAGACCCUAUGAAGCUUCACUAUUCCCUAGGAUUGGCUUUGGACCUUUCCUGCGCAACUUAGGUGGAAGGCGAAGAAGGCCUCCUUCCGGGGGGCCCCGAGCCAUCAGUGAGAUACCACUCUGGAAGGGCUAGAAUUCUAACCUUGUGUUAGGACCUACGAGCCAAGGGACAGUCUCAGGUAGACAGUUUCUAUGGGGCAUAGGCCUCCUAAAAGGUAACGGAGGCCUGCAAAGGUUUCCUUGGGCCGGACGGAGAUUAGCCCUCGAGUGCAAAGGCAGAAGGGAGCUUGACUGCAAGACCCACCCGUCGAGUAGGGACGAAAUUUGGCCAUAGUGAUCCGACGGUGCCGAGUGGAAGGGCCAUAGCUCAACGGAUAAAAGUUACUCUAGGGAUAACAGGCUGAUCUUCCCCAAGAUCUCACAUCAACGGGAAGGUUUGGUACCUCGAUGUCGGCUCUUCGCCACCUGGGGCUGUAGUAUGUUCCAAGGGUUGGGUUGUUUGCCCAUUAAAGCGGUACGUGAUCUGGGUUAAGAAUGUCAUGAGACAGUUCGGUCCAUAUCCGGUAUGGGCGUUAGAGCAUUGAGAGGACCUUUUUCUAGUAUGAGAGGACCGGGAAGGAUGCACCUCUGGUGUACCAGUUAUCGUGCCCACGGUAAAUGUUGGGUAGCCAGGUGCGGGGCGGAUAACUGCUGAAAGCAUCUAAGUAGUAAGCCCACCCCAAUAUGAGUGCUCUCCUAUUCCGACUUCCCCAGAGCCUCUGGUAGCACAGCCGAGACAUCGACGGGUUCUCUGCCCCUACGGGGAUGGAGCGACAGAAGUUUUUUUGAGAAUUCAAGAGAAGGUCACGGCGAGACUAGCCGUUUAUCAUUACGAUAGGUGUCAAGUGGAUGUGCAGUGAUGUAUGCAGCUGAGGCAUCCUAACUGACUGGUAGACUUGAAC